UCCUCGUUUAAGCGAGGCAGUCUGUCCAGAGUGCUCCAAACUCUCGUCUGGGUGGCAACAGGACACAGGGGUUGCGCUCGUUGCGGGACUUAACCCAACAUCUCACGACACAAGCUGACGACAGCCAUGCAGCACCUGUGCAAGCUCCCCUUGCGGGGUCGUUCCGCUUUCACGGUCCUACCACUUGCAUGUCAAGGCCAGGUAAGGUUCUUCGCGUUGCAUCGAAUUAAGCCACAUACUCCACCGCUUGUGCAGGCCCCCGUCAAUUUCUUUGAGUUUUAAUCUUGCGACCGUACUUCCCAGGCGGCGCGUUUAUCGCGUUAGCUUCGCCACAAAAGGGGUCGAUUCCUUUUACAGCAAACGCGCACCGUUUACAGCCAGGACUAC
This 387-nucleotide unclassified non-coding RNA is filed under the name uncultured Verrucomicrobiae bacterium. Its description in RNAcentral is "contains 16S-23S intergenic spacer region". The record is from RNAcentral. Lineage: Bacteria; Pseudomonadati; Verrucomicrobiota; Verrucomicrobiia.